This 615-nucleotide ribosomal RNA is filed under the name Triticum aestivum (bread wheat). RNAcentral describes it as "partial small subunit ribosomal RNA". Lineage: Eukaryota; Viridiplantae; Streptophyta; Magnoliopsida; Poales; Poaceae. The record is from RNAcentral.
AUGUCCGACAGCACCCACCGCGAGAGAUCCUGCUGCGGCAGCCUGUUCACCUUCCUCGUCGCCGCCGGCUUCGUCAUCCUCAUCUACUGGGCCAUCUUCCAGCCGCACCACAUCCGCGCGACGGUCAGCUCCGCCACGCUCGCCAACCUCACCGUGGCCCGCGACAACGCCACCGUCUCCUACCGCCUCACCGUCGGGCUCGAGCUCUACAACCCCAGCCUCCGCGUGCCCAUCUACUACGACGCGCUCGACGCCGAGCUCCGCGCCGGCGGCGGCGGCGCCCCCCUCGGCGGCCCCGCUGCCCGCGUCGCCUCCUCCCCGGCGGAGUUCCUGCAGCGCAGGAAGAGCGCCGACACGGUCAGGCUGGAGUUCGACGGGAGCGGCGGCGUCGGCGUCCCCGGCGACGUCGCCGGGGAGCUGGCGAGGGGGGCGGGCGCGGGGGCCGUGAGCUUUGAGGUGGACGUGGAUGCGCGGGUGCGCUACAGGUUCGCCAGCAUCAAGAUCCGCCAGAAGCCGAGGAUUUGGUGCUGGCUCACGGUUCCGGUCAAGCCGGAGGGUGGCGUCGGCGUCGGCGGCGCUCUGGCCUCCGGCGAGCGUUGUAGCGUUAAGUACUGA